AACCUAGCACACCUGCGGUGUGUACCUGCGGAGGGAUCAUUGCAGAAACAAAUAUAUACCCAAGGGGGAAGAGUUAGCGCUCUUUUUCCUGGGCAAACAACCAACACACAUGACUAGGAAAAGCAAACAGAGAUUGUGGAGGAAUUGGCUUGGUCGGCUUGGCUUGGCUUGGGUCCUCGCACAGCACACAAGAAGCUCUUGUCUGAUAAAGUAGCUUGCUGAUUUGGAGUUACUACAAUA
This 240-nucleotide unclassified non-coding RNA is filed under the name soil metagenome. RNAcentral describes it as "partial contains 5.8S ribosomal RNA, internal transcribed spacer 2, and large subunit ribosomal RNA". The record is from RNAcentral.